CAUGACGAGAUCUCAUGUGAGAUUGACGUGAUUGGGUGUAGUAGAGGAAUUAGAAGACUAACUACUAGAAGUUAAAGUCACUCUGUAGUUUAGGGGAUUCACAAGAUCCAAAUGUGCGGAUGAGGCGAAAAUGAUAAAAAAAUGACGAAGUGGCAAUGUUCCGUCUUCCGAUGGAAAUUAAAACAUUUCUUAUAAUAAUCGGAGAAAUCUUACUCUUCACUGACACGGUGGCUGCAACGUCCUCUACGAGAGGAUUCAGUUCCUAGUUCGCUGGUCUGCCGCAGCUCGACGUACUGUCCUUAUUAAAAAUGUAAUUCGAAAAUACAACAACAUCAACAACAAUCAACGAUUAAAUAUGAAUUUUAAUAAUCAAUAUGUAAUUUUAUAAUGCUAUUGUAAUUUAGUAAUUAAUUUAUUAAUGUUGAUAAGUUAUAUUAGGUUUUCUUAGAUUGUAAUUCAUUUAAUGUGGUUUUGACAACACUUGUAUUGACUGACUGUUAUUUUGACAAAUUCGUGUAAUUUAAUAAUUAUUUUUUGUUAUUAUGAGAAACUGUUUUAUUCUUUAUUAAAAUAAAUUUCUUAUUGACUG
Molecule: unclassified non-coding RNA, 589 nt
Filed under: Melitaea cinxia (Glanville fritillary)
Lineage: Eukaryota; Metazoa; Arthropoda; Insecta; Lepidoptera; Nymphalidae
Description: misc RNA ENSMCXG00005017274.1
Source: RNAcentral